This 301-nucleotide ribosomal RNA is filed under the name uncultured bacterium. RNAcentral's name for it is "partial 16S ribosomal RNA". It matches the Rfam family "Bacterial small subunit ribosomal RNA", at positions 509 to 807 of the family's 1533-position model. The record is from RNAcentral.
CAGUCGCCGCGGGAAUACGAAGGGUGCAAGCGUUAAUCGGAAUUACUGGGCGUAAAGCGUGCGUAGGCGGUGAGUUAAGUCUGCUGUGAAAUCCCCGGGCUCAACCUGGGAAUGGCAGUGGAUACUGGCUCGCUAGAGUGUGUCAGAGGAUGGUGGAAUUCCCGGUGUAGCGGUGAAAUGCGUAGAGAUGUGGAGGAACACCGAUGGCGAAGGCAGCCCCCUGGGCCAAUACUGACGCUCAUGCACGAAAGCGUGGGGAGCAAACAGGAUUAGAUACCCCAGUAGUCCCUGUCUCUUAUAC